UUUAAUUGUUAAAAUUAAAACAACAACAAUUUAAAAAAAAAAAAGGGAAGUCUUCUUGAAACAGUGUUCAUGAAUAACACUGCACCCAUAGUCACCGGAGACCACCCGCGGCCACCACCUACGUCAGCUGGUGGCAGGCGCGCGAUAAGUCUUUCAACCCGCGCGUGCUUGCUCGGCGACGCCCAGUGGUUGGCGCGGCUGGGACAAGCAGGCUCAACGUUGUCGGGGUAGGGAGUUGUUGUGCGAUCCGGUGAAACGGUGAAAUCGCGACUCCCUUCACAAUCCCGUCGGUGAUGGAGCCCUCGGUGCUGAUUCAGACUGCCGGCGUGAGCGCAAGCGUUGUGCUGUCGUCGGGCAAUGAUGGGGGCGGCUGCCGCUCGGUUGCACAGAAGGAUCGAGAUGAGUCUCGGUUUGGUCUCCCCUCACGAGCUGUCGUCGACGAGAAGCGGUUCGGGCUACCUCGAUGUCGGAGGUGGCGCAAUCGUUGCGCGGUCUGCCAGUUCCGGUAGCGGAACUAGUCAUCGCUGUUUGGGAGAUGAACGGCGCGUGGAAGAGAUCGCGAUCGGGAACAUAUCGCCAUAAACGGGGAAGCGCAAGUGUUGUGCGGUUGCCUCGCGUCCUCCUCGCGCGCAGGUGGGUCGCGCGACCAGUGGAUCGCGCGCCCGGUGGGUCGCGCUCCGCGCACCGGCGUGUCGCGUGCCAGUGGGCCGCGCACCGGCGAGUCGCACGACGGUGGGGGCGGCGGCUUGGGCUUCCUCAUGAGGAAGAAGACGCCCUAAUUACAAUUCUGC
Molecule: long non-coding RNA, 791 nt
Filed under: Manihot esculenta (cassava)
Lineage: Eukaryota; Viridiplantae; Streptophyta; Magnoliopsida; Malpighiales; Euphorbiaceae
Description: long non-coding RNA (MESC_LNC008682)
Source: RNAcentral